Non-coding RNA from Camelina sativa (false flax), 773 nucleotides. Lineage: Eukaryota; Viridiplantae; Streptophyta; Magnoliopsida; Brassicales; Brassicaceae. The record is from RefSeq and is a predicted model, not a curated record.
AAAAAAAAAAACCUUUAGUUCUUCGUCCUCCCUCGAGACAAUAACGGCAGCGAUGGCAAAUUUCAUACCACCGUCUAUGAAGGAACAAGCCGAUGAGAAAGUUGAUAACAUUAUGAGAAGGUUGAUAACGCGGAACCUCACUUGUCCUGUUGGAUAUGAAUAUAUCGAUAUAGAAGCUUACAAUAUUUUAAACCGUGAUUUCAGUAGUUUACAUUUGAACUACUCCCCAGCCUUUUUUGAUGGAAAGUUUAAUAUCAGGCCCGUUUAUUCUUGUGUCAAACAGUUCAACGAUGGCGCCAGGAACAUAUUAUGGACUUAGUGCCUACUACUUGAACACAAAGCUGGCACUUACUGGAGGUGUUACUACUGAUGGUAGACUAACUGCGACAGUGAAAUACUAACUGCGCUAUAACUGAUAAGUUGACUGUGAGGGCAUAUACAAAUGCUCUAAACUACAGAGCUCGAUUUAAACUCGGGAGCAAUGACCUAACUGCAGCUACAUAUAUCCAGCGUGUGACACCCUGUCUAUCUUUGGGUGGUGAGGUCUUUUGCACCAAUGUGCCUCAAGAGUCGGGUGUAGGUUAUGCUGCAAGAUACGAGACUGAUAAGAUGGUAAUGUUUCUUCUAAGUCACUUUAUUGGACAGCUUACAAACCCGAUACGUAGAAAGUGCCAUAUUUUAUACAGUAGGAUUUUUUGCCAUUUAUACAACGUUAUUCUUUGUAUAUAAAAGAAAUAUAUACAUGUCGUAGAAUUUUGUAAUACGUUAUACAA